CUUGCCACAGCUCCCACAUCACCAGGCAAACCAGAUCAUUUUGCCAAGAGGGGAAAAUCUUCUGUCAUCAGGGCUGGCCUGGAGUCCACAAAAGGUUUCAUGGAAGCACCGCAUACGUGCCAUGCUCUUUCAAAUGAACACAGGCACAAACUGGUGGCCAGCAGGGUGAGGGAGGUGAUCCUACCAUUCUACUGUGCUGUGAGACCUCACCUGCAGUACUGUGUCCAGAUGUGGAGUCCUCAGUACAGGAGAGAUGUGGACCUGUUGGAGAGCGUCCAGAGGAGGGGCACAAAAAUGAUCCCAGGGGUGGAAAACCUCCCCUGCAAGGACAGGCUGGGAAAGCUGGGGCUGCGCAGCCUGGAGAAGAGAAGGCUGUAAGGUGACCUGACAGCGGCCUUUCAGUACCUACAGGGGAGCUACAGAAAGGACAGAUUCUUUAGCAGUUUUUGAUAAUAGAACAAGGGGAAACGGCUUAAAGCUCAAAGAGGGCAGAUUUAGGUUAGAUAUAAGGAAAAAGUAUUUUACAGUGAGAGUGGUGAGGCACUGGAACAGGUUGCCCAGAGUUAUGACUGAUGCCCCAUCCCUGGAGACUUUGAAGGCAAGGUUGACAACCUGAUCUAAUUGUGGUGUCCCUGUUCAUUGUAGGGGAGCUGAACUAGAUGGCCUUCAGAUGUCCCUUCCAACUCUAAGGAUUCUAUGAUUCUAUGAACUGGGUUUAGAAUUCUACAUUAACCUGAUGUUAACAAGAGAUAAGAAAAUACACUAAGUAGCCUCCAAAGUUGGUAAGAAAAAAUGCAGUAUGCAUAAUUAGUAAUUUACUAACUUGAGUAGAUGCACCUAAAUACCACAAAUGGAAUUAUCAACUGAAAUACAUUUAUUACAGUAUUGCAUUAUUUUCUACCAGUGUUUUCUUCCAAACUAUUUGGGACUUUGUGCAGAACUUUGGGUCACUUUAGUAUUUCCUGGUCUUCUGGAUUUUUAACAUAUACAGCCACAGCACAACCUGCUAUGACUGCUCAGUGACUGCUCAAAAUCAAGAGUUGUGUAUUUGUUUCAGAAACAUCUUUCCUGACACUGAUUUCUUUAUGGAAGGCAUCGGUCGGGAAUCAUAAAACAGGUUGGAAUAUUACUGAAAGCAUUCUUGUUUAAAAAAAGUCAUGUCAGCAAUGUGCCACAGUUCUAAUUACUGCAGAGAAAUUAGCAAAUAAUUAUAUGCAAAUAAAUGAAGCUAAUCAAAGCUAUUAGCACAUUCUGCUAGUCAAUCAUUUAAAUUACUUUAGGCUAUGGUACAGCAUUGGUAUGGAAGAAUCAGCUUAAAAGGAAAAAAAUACACAACCACUUUAUUAUGUGAGAGCCCAGCAUUUGUAUAAACAUUUCAAAUGUGGUAUUGAAACAGCUAAUCCAUUCAGCAUUAAAUUGGAUAGGCUCUGGUCACCCAUGUUACCUAUAUUAUGAGAGUGCUUCGGUAUGGAAUGAGUGCUGACAGUCCCAUACAUGCUGUUUUUCAAGCUCUUGUAGAAUUGUGCCCAUUCAGUUAAGAAAAAUUUCUAUGCUGGAUUUUUGCUUCAGGCAGCAUUUGUUACUGCUGCUGUCUGUUUUGAACAUUGCUGCCCAAACAUUUCUAGCACUGCAGAGAGCAAGACUUGGAGAAACAAGUCUUUGACAAAACAUUCUGCUUCUGAGCUGCACUUUUUCUGCCCCGUGAACAUCUGUCCAAAUUUUUCCCAUUUCUAAACACCAGCGGGAGAGAGGAGAGGUUUGUUCUUGUUGGGUGGGGACUUCCAUUUUCUCAGCAUGGUUGCCAAGCAUUCUCCUUCCUCUGGUCCCACUCCAGCUGCCCUGAUGACAGGGAGGGCACUGACCACUGUGUGGCUCAGGGCUGGGGCCGGGACGCACAGCCAGAAUGGACUGCUUUGCAGUGCGAGCCCCUCAAGAGGCAAAGGAAAGAGAAGGAGAGGAAAAGAAUGCCAAGAAGGCUGAAGCUCAUUGAUGGUGGAGGAAAGGAUAUUGGCUCAAAUAGAUUGGGGCUGAGGCCAGAGGGAAAACAGAGGCGGAGGAAGGAAGGAUGUGACUCAUGGCGAGGGAGGGGCAGCAGGAGGGCAGCUGGAGGCAGGAGGUGGGUGAUGAGGACACAACCUGCUGAUGGAUGGGCCCCAGGGGUAGCAGCAUAGGCAGAAGCUGGGCUGGACAGGGUUCAGGGAGUGGUGGGACUGGGGCCAGCUUCAGGAAGCUGAACUAUCUGCAUCUUUCCAGUUUGCUAUUGGAGUCUUGCCCCAGGGAUGCUGGACUGUAAUACAUGGCUGUGACCUGGUGUGGUGUCAGUUCUGCCAACACUCACUACAAAUACUUCCUUAUUUGCUGUCCAGAACUUCAUUCUCUCUGUUCUAGGUUCUUGUGACUGUAGUUAAAGCGAAUGACUGCAAAAAUCAAGAGCAUGUACUUAGAGAGACAACAAAACGUUAGACUUGAAGGGUUUUUCAUGACUGCAUUACCCAUACACACACAUAAUCAGCUAUUAUUUUAAUAUUUCCUCUUUUGUUGUGCUAAUACUAGGAAAUUCCCUUAUUAAUACUUACAAUAUGUGAAGACUAGAAAUUUUCCUCUCUGCUCUGUGUUGGUAAGACUUCACCUGGAGUACUGCAUCCAGAUGUGCAGUCCACAGUACAAGAGAGACACAGACCUGUUGGAGCACAUCCAGAGGAUGGCCACAACAGUGAUCCUGGAGAUGGAACACCUCUCCUAUGAGGACAGACCGAGAGAGCUGGGGCUGUUCAGCCUGGAGAGGAGAAAGUUUCCCCUCUCUUUGUGGAUAUUUGAGAGUGGCCUUUCAAUAUCUAAAGGGGAUCUGUAAGAAAGAAGGGGACAGACUCUUUAGCAGGGUCUGCUGUGACAGAACAAAGGGAAAUGGUUUCAAACUAGAAGAGGGGAGGUUUCGAUUGGAUAUAAGGAAAAAGUUUUCUUAUAACAAGAGUGGCGAGGCAGUGGCAAAAGUUGCCUGGAGAGGUGAUGGAUGCUCUGUCUCUGGAGACAUUCAAGGUCAGGCUGGAUGGGGCUCUGAGCACCUGAUCUAGCUGUAAGUGUCCCUGUUCAUUGCAGGGGACUUGGACUAGAUGGUCUUUAAGGGUCCCUUCCAGCUCAAAUGACUUUACAAUUCUAGGAAAUUAAACACUUUGAAGGAGUGUUCCUAGAUACAGGCACUCAGAGUUCUUCUCUCAACCCAUCUUUAGGCACAUCUAGGGGGUUAGCACAGUCUGGGCUUGGUCCCACCAGACAGAUUAGAUGAGGUGACAUUUUGUCCAAGGGUCAGAUGUGGGGCAUUUCAUGGAAACUGCCCUGUGUCCAGGAACCACAUAGGGCACAUCUGAGUUCAGACAAGCUUUUACAUCUUACUGCAGUCAGCUUGCCAUUUCCCUUUCCUCAUGUUUAGUGGGGAUUUUACUAUUGUGGUUUAACUGUAAUGUAUAUUAAGUUUUAGAAGCAAAGCAAUUCCAUGGGUUGAUUUGACUCAGAUUUCUGUCUAAAGUCAUUGUAAAUAUUGUAAAUAAUUGUGAUGUUCACUUUUAUCUUUGUAGGUUGGGUUGUCCUACCCAUGACUAGAGUCUCAGGAGAGACAUUAUUACUCUCUACAACUUCCUGAAGGGAGGUUGUGAUGGGGUGAGGGUCAGCCUCUUCUCCCAGGUUACAGCAAUAAGUCAAGACAGAAUGGCCUUACAUUGUGCCAGGGGAGGUUCAGGUUGGAUAUUAUGAAAAUUUUCUUCUCAGGAGUGGUGAUGCAUUGGCACAGGCUGCCCAGGGAGGUGGUGAAGUCACUUCCUGGAGGUGUUCAAGGAAUGUGUAGAUGUAGCACUGAGGGACAUGGUUAGUGGCCAUGGUGGGGAUGGGUUGAUGGUUGGACUAGAUGAUCUCAGUGGUCUUUUCCAAACUAAAUGAUUUGAUGAUUCUAUUACUUAGGUCCACACUCCAAAGUUUCUUUUCCAUUUGUUAGUAGGAGCUCUGAAUUCCUGCUUUCAGGCCUCUCGUCACGAGCUCCGUGCUCAAUGAAGCAGCUCCUCCAAGUUUUCAGUGGUCACAACUUCAGGUAUUGAAACAACAAAUGUUGAAUAUUGCUUCUCUGAAUGCAAACAGUCCUCACCUGGGAAAAAAGAAAGACUCCAUUUUACUGUUUACAGAUUAUAAAUGAUAGAGGAGUCACCAUUUUCACAUUCUGCAGAAUCCCCUUGUAUACAUAUCAGAGUGUUUCUAAUAUUGCAGAUAAGGGAUCCCAG
This 4265-nucleotide long non-coding RNA is filed under the name Gallus gallus (chicken). Its description in RNAcentral is "lncRNA (ENSGALG00010006398.1)". The record is from RNAcentral. Lineage: Eukaryota; Metazoa; Chordata; Aves; Galliformes; Phasianidae.